AAAUAAAUAAAUAAAGAAAGAAGAAAAAAGAAAUAUAGAGGCUGGUAAAUGGCUCCACAGUUAAAAGCACUUGCUGCUCUUCCUGAGGACUGGAAUUUGGUUCCCAGAAUCCACACCCGUGACGCCAGUUUCAGGGAUUGAUGCCCUCUUCUGGCCUCUAUGCCCUGCCCCCCAAACACCGUAAAAAGUGGGGUUGGUUGGAGAGACAGCUCAGUGGAUAAGAACAUGUAUUGCUCUCACAGAGGACCCAAGGCUUGCCAGCUGGUCAGCAAGCUAGAGAGCUGUCUAUCCCCGGCCUCCCCUUUCCAGAACCCACAUCAGCUGGCUCCCACUGAUUGUAACUGCAGCUCCAAGGGGAUCUGAUGCCUAUGUGGACACCUACAUUCCAGUGUGUAUCUCUAACAGAGACACAGACAGACACAGACACACAUAAUUUAAAGUAAUAAAAAUAAAUCUUAAAAAAGAAGUAGAAAAGAAAACAGGGAGCUGGAGAGAUGACUCAGGGGUUAACAGUGCUUGCUGCUUCAUCGAGAGGAUCAGAGUUCGGAUCCCAGCAUUAAUAUCAGGCAGCUCACCAACACCUACACCUCCAGCUCCAUGGUGUCUAAAGCCCUCUUCUGGCCUCUAUGGGACUCAUUCACACGUUUGUACAUAUUGUUAUACACACCUCACUAUAAAUAAUAGAAAUUAAAAAAAAUAAACCUGAGGCUGGGGAGGUGGCUCUGAGUUGGAUCCCCAGAUCCCACAUUUAAGAACUGGGGGCAGCGGUGCAUGGUUGUAAAUCCCACUGUUGGGGAGGCGGGUAUAGAUAGCUGUCUAGCUUUCUGAUUAGCUAGCUAGCCUACCCUAUGUGCUUACUUGGUAAGUUUUAGCCCUGUGAAAGGGAAAGGUGGAUGUUGCCUGAAGAAACACACACACACACACACACACACACACACACACACACACACACACGUACACAGACACAGACAGACAGAUAGACAGACAGACAGACAUAGAUACACACAGACAGACACAUACACAUACACACACACACACACACACACACACACACACACAUGUACACAGACACAGACAGACAGAUAGACAGACAGACAGACAUAGACACACACAGACAGACACAUACACACACACACACACACACACACACACACACACACACGCGCGCACGUAUCUGGGUCUAUAGGCAAACUAAGGUCAAAAACAAAGAUUGCCAACUCGGGAUUCCGGAGCUCAUGGAGUCAGCGAGAAGAAAGCAGUCGCAUCUCUGUUGUAGGAGGUGGCUGAUGGCGGCUGACUACUCAGAACAGAAUAGAAAAGACUCCCUUCUCCUGAUUCUGGCUUGUCGUGCAGUUUUCUCUUCAAUUCUGUCAUGAGUACACCAUAUCAGCCAUGUUAUCCCAACUCUGGAACAAUUAAAUGAAGUGAACCAAAAUGAAGACAUUCCUACACUCUAAAAUAACACAGAAACAGAAUAUCGCUCGGCUUCCAGAGAAAUCAGCAGGAUUUGAGUCCUUUCGAUUUUAUCUUUCGGAUGUGCAAACCAUGACCAUCACACUCCUUCUUCGAGCUGCCUUUCUAUUGCUGAGUUCUGUUACAUGGUGUAAUCAAUAAGGGGUAUCCUUGUCCAGCUCAGAACGUGGAAGGAGAGCCUGCUGGGCCCUGCCUCAGUCUCCACAUAAUUAAUAUAUAUAUACACAGUUAAAGUGAAGAAACAACCUAGAACAGUAACAAAGGAAGCCACAGGAGAGAGUUCUGGUCCUUCAACACAAGGCUGGCUGCACAGCACCAAGACUCUCAGGGAUUCCUACUCUCAAGAACAGACUGUUGACUGGCUGCUUCUUUAUGAUUUAUGAGAGGUUCUGCGUCCUCAGCCUUCUCCAUCUCUUGUCCCUGAAGCUCCUCAAGAAUGAGGACUGUCUCCCAGUUACUAUAGUGAUGGGCUGGGAAAAUAUCUGAGUGCAUGCUGU
Long non-coding RNA from Peromyscus californicus insignis, 1970 nucleotides. RefSeq lists it as uncharacterized. The record is from RefSeq and is a predicted model, not a curated record. NCBI's taxonomy places the organism in Eukaryota, Metazoa, Chordata, Mammalia, Rodentia, Cricetidae. The transcript is spliced from 4 exons.